GGGCAUAUGGUGUAGGGGUUAUCACGUUCGCUUUGCAUCCUGAGGGAUUCGAAAUUGCAUUGCGAAAGGUCUCCGGUUCAAAUCCAGAUUUGUCCA
Molecule: non-coding RNA, 96 nt
Organism: Rhodocollybia butyracea
Lineage: Eukaryota; Fungi; Basidiomycota; Agaricomycetes; Agaricales; Omphalotaceae
Source: the annotation of a GenBank genome assembly